RNAcentral lists this ribosomal RNA (329 nucleotides) under uncultured eukaryote. RNAcentral's name for it is "partial 18S ribosomal RNA". It matches the Rfam family "Eukaryotic small subunit ribosomal RNA", at positions 1470 to 1796 of the family's 1831-position model. The record is from RNAcentral.
CCCUUAGAUGUUCUGGGCCGCACGCGCGCUACACUGAGCCCUUCAUCGAGUUUACAACCUUGGCCGGUAGGUCUGGUAAUCUUCUCAAAGGGGCUCGUGCUGGGGAUAGAUUAUUGUAAUUUUUAAUCUUCAACGAGGAAUUCCUAGUAAACGCAAGUCAACAGCUUGCAUUGAUUACGUCUCUGCCCUUUGUACACACCGCCCGUCGCUACUACCGAUUGAAUGGCUUAGUGAGCCCGAGGGACUGUUGCACCUAGAGGGUUUUCUCUCCAGGAGCAGCCGGGAACUCGGUCAAACUUGAUCAUUUAGAGGAAGUAAAAGUCGUAACA